ACUGCUUCUACCCAAGAUCAAAGGUAGUAUCUGUGCUUAUUAGUGUAAUAUCUGACACAUCCUCUAGCUGAGGACAAGAUAAUAAGUGGGUUUUAGGAGCAGAAGAUAGUGUAAUCUUGCUUCAUCCACUAGGUGUGUGGGUCCAACACUGCAGUAACAACCAGAUAAACAGUG
Molecule: small nuclear RNA, 174 nt
Organism: Callithrix jacchus (white-tufted-ear marmoset)
Lineage: Eukaryota; Metazoa; Chordata; Mammalia; Primates; Cebidae
Gene: U2
Rfam family: U2 spliceosomal RNA
About the family: U2 is a small nuclear RNA (snRNA) component of the spliceosome (involved in pre-mRNA splicing). Complementary binding between U2 snRNA (in an area lying towards the 5' end but 3' to hairpin I) and the branchpoint sequence (BPS) of the intron results the bulging out of an unpaired adenosine, on the BPS, which initiates a nucleophilic attack at the intronic 5' splice site, thus starting the first of two transesterification reactions that mediate splicing.
Source: Ensembl